GGGUGAAAAACCCGUUCGCCGAAAGACCAAGGGUUCCAGUCCAACGUUAAUCGGGGCUGGGUGAGUCGACCCCUAAGGCGAGGCCGAAAGGCGUAGUCGAUGGGAAAAUGGUUAAUAUUCCAUUACUUCUGUGUAAUGCGAUGAGAGGACGGAGAAGGCUAAAUCAGCCUGGCGUUGGUUGUCCAGGUGAAAGGAUGUAGGCAUGUAUCUUAGGCAAAUCCGGGGUACUCUAUGCUGAGAUCUGAUAGCAAGCUGUACUUGUACAGCGAAGUGGUUGAUGCCAUGCUUCCAGGAAAAGUCUCUAAGCUUCAGUUACACAGGAAUCGUACCCGAAACCGACACAGGUGGUCAGGUCGAGUAGACCAAGGCGCUUGAGAGAACUCUGCUGAAGGAACUAGGCAAAAUGGUACCGUAACUUCGGGAGAAGGUACGCUGUUGUUGGUGAUGGAACUCGCUUCCUGAGCUGACGACAGCCGCAGAAACCAGGCCGCUGCAACUGUUUAUUAAAAACAUAGCACUCUGCAAACACGAAAGUGGACGUAUAGGGUGUGAUGCCUGCCCGGUGCUGGAAGGUUAAUUGAUGGGGUUAGCGUAAGCGAAGCUCUUGAUCGAAGCCCCAGUAAACGGCGGCCGUAACUAUAACGGUCCUAAGGUAGCGAAAUUCCUUGUCGGGUAAGUUCCGACCUGCACGAAUGGCAUAAUGAUGGCGGCGCUGUCUCCAGCAGAGGCUCAGUGAAAUCGAAAUCGCUGUGAAGAUGCAGUGUACCCGCGGCUAGACGGAAAGACCCCGUGAACCUUUACUGCAGCUUGACACUGAACUUUGACCUUACUUGUGUAGGAUAGGUGGGAGGCUUUGAAGCUGGAACGCUAGUUCCAGUGGAGCCGUCCUUGAAAUACCACCCUGGUAAUGUUGAGGUUCUAACUCUGUCCCGUGAUCCGGGACGAGGACCGUGUCUGGUGGGUAGUUUGACUGGGGCGGUCUCCUCCUAAAGAGUAACGGAGGAGUACGAAGGUGCGCUCAGCGUGGUCGGAAAUCACGCGUAGAGUAUAAAGGCAAAAGCGCGCUUAACUGCGAGACCCACAAGUCGAGCAGGUACGAAAGUAGGUCUUAGUGAUCCGGUGGUUCUGUAUGGAAGGGCCAUCGCUCAACGGAUAAAAGGUACUCUGGGGAUAACAGGCUGAUACCGCCCAAGAGUUCAUAUCGACGGCGGUGUUUGGCACCUCGAUGUCGGCUCAUCUCAUCCUGGGGCUGAAGCAGGUCCCAAGGGUAUGGCUGUUCGCCAUUUAAAGAGGUACGCGAGCUGGGUUUAGAACGUCGUGAGACAGUUCGGUCCCUAUCUACCGUGGGCGCUGGAAAUUUGAGAGGAUCUGCUCCUAGUACGAGAGGACCAGAGUGGACGAACCUCUGGUGUACCGGUUGUGACGCCAGUCGCAUCGCCGGGUAGCUAUGUUCGGAAGGGAUAACCGCUGAAAGCAUCUAAGCGGGAAGCCUACCUCAAGAUAAGAUUUCCCUAGGACUUUAUGUCCUCUAAAGAGCCGUUCGAGACUAGGACGUUGAUAGGUUGGAUGUGGAAGCAUAGUGAUAUGUGAAGCUGACCAAUACUAAUUGCUCGUGAGGCUUGACUAU
RNAcentral lists this ribosomal RNA (1627 nucleotides) under Acinetobacter baumannii. RNAcentral's name for it is "partial 23S ribosomal RNA". It matches the Rfam family "Bacterial large subunit ribosomal RNA", at positions 1319 to 2925 of the family's 2925-position model. Lineage: Bacteria; Pseudomonadati; Pseudomonadota; Gammaproteobacteria; Moraxellales; Moraxellaceae. The record is from RNAcentral.